GGUUAAGCGACUAAGCGUACACGGUGGAUGCCCUGGCAGUCAGAGGCGAUGAAGGACGUGCUAAUCUGCGAUAAGCGUCGGUAAGGUGAUAUGAACCGUUAUAACCGGCGAUUUCCGAAUGGGGAAACCCAGUGUGAUUCGUCACACUAUCAUUAACUGAAUCCAUAGGUUAAUGAGGCGAACCGGGGGAACUGAAACAUCUAAGUACCCCGAGGAAAAGAAAUCAACCGAGAUUCCCCCAGUAGCGGCGAGCGAACGGGGAGCAGCCCAGAGCCUGAAUCAGUGUGUGUGUUAGUGGAAGCGUCUGGAAAGGCGCGCGAUACAGGGUGACAGCCCCGUACACAAAAAUGCACAUACUGUGAGCUCGAUGAGUAGGGCGGGACACGUGGUAUCCUGUCUGAAUAUGGGGGGGACCAUCCUCCAAGGCUAAAUACUCCUGACUGACCGAUAGUGAACCAGUACCGUGAGGGAAAGGCGAAAAGAACCCCGGCGAGGGGAGUGAAAAAGAACCUGAAACCGUGUACGUACAAGCAGUGGGAGCACAGAGCAAUCUGUGUGACUGCGUACCUUUUGUAUAAUGGGUCAGCGACUUAUAUUCUGUAGCAAGGUUAACCGAAUAGGGGAGCCGAAGGGAAACCGAGUCUUAACUGGGCGUUAAGUUGCAGGGUAUAGACCCGAAACCCGGUGAUCUAGCCAUGGGCAGGUUGAAGGUUGGGUAACACUAACUGGAGGACCGAACCGACUAAUGUUGAAAAAUUAGCGGAUGACUUGUGGCUGGGGGUGAAAGGCCAAUCAAACCGGGAGAUAGCUGGUUCUCCCCGAAAGCUAUUUAGGUAGCGCCUCGUGAAUUCAUCUCUGGGGGUAGAGCACUGUUUCGGCAAGGGGGUCAUCCCGACUUACCAACCCGAUGCAAACUGCGAAUACCGGAGAAUGUUAUCACGGGAGACACACGGCGGGUGCUAACGUCCGUCGUGAAGAGGGAAACAACCCAGACCGCCAGCUAAGGUCCCAAAGUCAUGGUUAAGUGGGAAACGAUGUGGGAAGGCCCAGACAGCCAGGAUGUUGGCUUAGAAGCAGCCAUCAUUUAAAGAAAGCGUAAUAGCUCACUGGUCGAGUCGGCCUGCGCGGAAGAUGUAACGGGGCUAAACCAUGCACCGAAGCUGCGGCAGCGACGCUGAUGCGUUGUUGGGUAGGGGAGCGUUCUGUAAGCCUGUGAAGGUGUGCUGUGAGGCAUGCUGGAGGUAUCAGAAGUGCGAAUGCUGACAUAAGUAACGAUAAAGCGGGUGAAAAGCCCGCUCGCCGGAAGACCAAGGGUUCCUGUCCAACGUUAAUCGGGGCAGGGUGAGUCGACCCCUAAGGCGAGGCCGAAAGGCGUAGUCGAUGGGAAACAGGUUAAUAUUCCUGUACUUGGUGUUACUGCGAAGGGGGGACGGAGAAGGCUAUGUUGGCCGGGCGACGGUUGUCCCGGUUUAAGCGUGUAGGCUGGUUUUCCAGGCAAAUCCGGAAAAUCAAGGCUGAGGCGUGAUGACGAGGCACUACGGUGCUGAAGCAACAAAUGCCCUGCUUCCAGGAAAAGCCUCUAAGCAUCAGGUAACAUCAAAUCGUACCCCAAACCGACACAGGUGGUCAGGUAGAGAAUACCAAGGCGCUUGAGAGAACUCGGGUGAAGGAACUAGGCAAAAUGGUGCCGUAACUUCGGGAGAAGGCACGCUGAUAUGUAGGUGAAGUCCCUCGCGGAUGGAGCUGAAAUCAGUCGAAGAUACCAGCUGGCUGCAACUGUUUAUUAAAAACACAGCACUGUGCAAACACGAAAGUGGACGUAUACGGUGUGACGCCUGCCCGGUGCCGGAAGGUUAAUUGAUGGGGUCAGCGCAAGCGAAGCUCUUGAUCGAAGCCCCGGUAAACGGCGGCCGUAACUAUAACGGUCCUAAGGUAGCGAAAUUCCUUGUCGGGUAAGUUCCGACCUGCACGAAUGGCGUAAUGAUGGCCAGGCUGUCUCCACCCGAGACUCAGUGAAAUUGAACUCGCUGUGAAGAUGCAGUGUACCCGCGGCAAGACGGAAAGACCCCGUGAACCUUUACUAUAGCUUGACACUGAACAUUGAGCCUUGAUGUGUAGGAUAGGUGGGAGGCUUAGAAGUGUGGACGCCAGUCUGCAUGGAGCCGACCUUGAAAUACCACCCUUUAAUGUUUGAUGUUCUAACGUUGACCCGUAAUCCGGGUUGCGGACAGUGUCUGGUGGGUAGUUUGACUGGGGCGGUCUCCUCCUAAAGAGUAACGGAGGAGCACGAAGGUUGGCUAAUCCUGGUCGGACAUCAGGAGGUUAGUGCAAUGGCAUAAGCCAGCUUGACUGCGAGCGUGACGGCGCGAGCAGGUGCGAAAGCAGGUCAUAGUGAUCCGGUGGUUCUGAAUGGAAGGGCCAUCGCUCAACGGAUAAAAGGUACUCCGGGGAUAACAGGCUGAUACCGCCCAAGAGUUCAUAUCGACGGCGGUGUUUGGCACCUCGAUGUCGGCUCAUCACAUCCUGGGGCUGAAGUAGGUCCCAAGGGUAUGGCUGUUCGCCAUUUAAAGUGGUACGCGAGCUGGGUUUAGAACGUCGUGAGACAGUUCGGUCCCUAUCUGCCGUGGGCGCUGGAGAACUGAGGGGGGCUGCUCCUAGUACGAGAGGACCGGAGUGGACGCAUCACUGGUGUUCGGGUUGUCAUGCCAAUGGCACUGCCCGGUAGCUAAAUGCGGAAGAGAUAAGUGCUGAAAGCAUCUAAGCACGAAACUUGCCCCGAGAUGAGUUCUCCCUGACCCUUUAAGGGUCCUGAAGGAACGUUGAAGACGACGACGUUGAUAGGCCGGGUGUGUAAGCGCAGCGAUGCGUUGAGCUAACCGGUACUAAUGAACCGUGAGGCUUAACCUU
RNAcentral lists this ribosomal RNA (2907 nucleotides) under Escherichia coli. RNAcentral describes it as "23S ribosomal RNA". It matches the Rfam family "Bacterial large subunit ribosomal RNA". Lineage: Bacteria; Pseudomonadati; Pseudomonadota; Gammaproteobacteria; Enterobacterales; Enterobacteriaceae. The record is from RNAcentral.